GGUUCUGCUGCCAUGGCUUCUUCUUCAAAUCCACCUUCACCACUACUCUUGGACUCAGUGGAGCCAUCAAACAUCAAAACCCAAUAAAUUCUUUAUCUAUCCACAACAAAAAGACAGUAAAAAAGAUUGCAGAUUUCACUAUAAACGACAAAAAGUUGAAAAUGACGUUUUCUUGACUUAUGUUAUGAAAAAGAAUCAGAGAGUCGUAAGCUCAGGUGAUCGGAGGAAACUCCGGGGAGCCAACUCUUGUGGAGCGGCAAUUCUUGCUUCCGUGGCUUCUUCAUCUUCUGGAGGUCAACCAUUAAAACACUCUUUGAUCCCUACUUCCACAUUCUUGCUGGAACAGAGGAGAUGCUCCUGAAUAAGCAUCAGACAGAUUUUGUCCAAAAAAUCUUAUCGAAUCUUCAUUUUGACUUAAUUUAAUUUUUACGUGGUUGUGGCUUUACAUGCUUGGCGUCAUCAAGUUUUAUUUUGGUGUUUAUCAAAAAAAAAAAAAAAAGAGUUUUAUUGUGGGGGAUAAUAUCACAUUUUGUUAAUUUAUUUAUUGAAUGAAAGGUGUUUUAUUA
Molecule: long non-coding RNA, 566 nt
Organism: Arabidopsis lyrata subsp. lyrata
Lineage: Eukaryota; Viridiplantae; Streptophyta; Magnoliopsida; Brassicales; Brassicaceae
Exons: 3
Source: RefSeq, a predicted model, not a curated record